RNAcentral lists this long non-coding RNA (3303 nucleotides) under Mus musculus (house mouse). RNAcentral describes it as "long non-coding RNA chr13:109543003-109546306". The record is from RNAcentral. Lineage: Eukaryota; Metazoa; Chordata; Mammalia; Rodentia; Muridae.
UCUAUUGUCCUAUAUUUUAUAUAAAAAAUAUACUCCACGUUAACAAUAUCACACGUUGUACUGGUUAACUGUGGCAUAUUUUACUCAAUUUAAUAUAAAUAAAAUAUCUAACAAACAGAAAAAUGAAGACUAGGGAGAAAUUAUAAAGAAAAAUGGCCAUAGUUCUGCUGCAUUAGUGUUAAGUUAUCAUAACUUACCUAGCCCUUCAAAUAACAUGUGCAUGGUCAUGACAAUCUCAGAGGAUCAAGUCUCUUUCUAUGACCAUCAGCAUUCUUAAUCAAGGCUAAUCCUCAUGGCAAAGGUAAACUGAGUGAAUACAGUACCCCUGGUAUCACUUGGUCAAUCUGCAAAGUCUAAACUGUGCCUUCAAAGGUCAAGAUCAAGGGGACAGUUGCAAUGUUGCUGCAUAUCUUGUUUCAGUAGACCUAACUCCUAUUAUCCUACUUGACAUGUGAAGUGAUGAGCAGCAUGGCUAACGUAAUCAGCCAUUUUAGCCUAACAGUUGACUUUAGGGCACUGAUAGUGGCCUACAUCAUUCUCUUAGCUUGGCUACUUGCUUGAGGGUGGGGGAGAGUGACAGUGAUGGGUAAAAUGAAUUCUAGUUUCACAAAUUUCUUAAAACACAUCUGAAAUAAGUGGAGACCCCUUGUCAGGAAUAAUCACAUCUGGAAAUCUAGACGUGGAAAAUCACUGGUCACAGGCAUUAUCGUUCAAGCAAGGGCAAUACUGUAAGCUAUGUUUAGAGAACAUUACCAAAAGAAGAAAGAUUCUAUUCAUUGCUGAAGAAGGAGAUAUUUUUAACAGAAUCUUUGGGACAGUUUCACAUCAGGAAGAAAGAUGCUUUUGGUAAAGUUUAUGAACAAAUUUGACAGCACGUACAGUUUCCUCAAUAGCACAAAUGAUUGCAACCAACAAAUAAUUCCUCGGGCAUGUAUCUCAUUAAAUAAUUUCUAAGUUAACAUGUGUUUUAUUGCAAAUAUGAUUAUCAUAUGAUAUUUAUAUUCUGUCUGCUAGAAAUACCCAAUAAUAAAUAUACAAGUUUGAAUGAAUUGAAAUUAGAAUCUAGCUAUAUAUAGAAGCAUAUACAGAAUUUAAACUGUGAAAGUGAGUUAGCCUAUUAAGUUAAAUUACGUAACAAAAGACGCAAAAGUCUUUUACUGAGCAUGUGCCAUAGUCUCUUCUUUCUUCUAAUCAAGAUCGUUUUCCUUUGUUUCAUGAGGGGAAAAAAAAAAAACAAAAACUCAAACAAGGUCAUGAACCCGGCCUAUCCAGAUCUCAAAACCUAUGGUUUUAUUAUCAGAGUGGAUUUCCUUCUAUUUACAGUGUCUGAUGGGAUUGAGGAAGGCAAAUCUGUAAGAAAGCAAUCAUUUGCUUGCAUUCUCCAUUCAUCCCUCCAUUUCCUCCCAUGUCAAGGGCAUCCAUACUCAGUGGUCUCUGUUUGGGGCUGUCGUCAAGUAGAAUUAAAUCUAACUUUCAAAUCCCCUUGUGUAAUGUUAGCCCUCUAAUUGGGCCCCCUAUGCUGAGCCAGCAGUAUUCAGUGUAGGUUUUAGGUAGACAUUAGUAGGAUAAAAUGGAGCUGCUUAUCAUUUUAUGUUCAAAGCAUUUAGGGAGGUAAGUUUUACAUAUGCUGUGAAGAGACUAAUGCGACCCAUCAAAUCAAUUCAUAAAACUCCCAUUUUGAAGGGGAAAUUAAAAGUCAAGGUGACAGAGAGGAUCAACAUAACUCAUGUAGUUGUUGAUGAACAGCAUACAAGGUCUAACUUGGAAAGCUGACAAGGAAGCCACUCACUAGGGCCAUUGUUCAGGAGCAGUGGCAACAGCUGAAGUGAUUCACACAGCACAGGGAGACGCUGGACUCCUCUGUGGUCAUGAGCAGACUGGGUUUUGGCAGACCUCUUCUCGAGCCUUUUGUCUCCCUCUCCUUUCCUGUUUGAAAAACAUCAGCCUCCGCACAUAAACCAUUUUCUCCAAGUAUGACUUCCCUGGAUGUCUGUACUAGCCAGGGAUCAGUCCCAAGGUGAUCAUGGAUAGUUCUGUAGACAGGCAUGUUUCUUGUAGAUUUCAAUUUACGUAGUCUAUAUGGUUUAAAAUAGCUGAACACAAACUAAGUCUACUCAAUUUGGUGCUAAUGUCUUGGUUGAGAGGGCUCGGUGUAUCACGGUGUCAUCCUAGCUGCUCUGAAGCUCUGGAGCCAAAUGGCCUUCCUGGUUUAUCCUUCCAAGUAGCUGGAAUAUCAGGCACACACUAGCAUGUGUAGCUAACAUGGUCUUAGCAAUGUGUGUUUUCAAAGACUGUGUCUGGAUGUAUGGAAUUAAAGGAAAACUUAAUUUCUCUUUUGGAAAACACAUUUUUUUUUAAAUUCCUGGGGCUUGCUCCUCCCACACCUGUAUCUUGCUACCAUGUGUUUUCUGGCUUCCCUAUGACAGGGAAUUUUUGUUAUAUUUACUGAUGGUGGAUAGUUUUGGUUGUUUUGAAACUUUCAUUUUUGGAAGUUAUAAUUCAAUUGCAUGAUUCUCCCCACUUCCUCUCACCAACCUCUCCUAUAGAAUAAAUCCUUCUUGCUCUCUCUUUCAAAUUAAUGGCUUCUUUUCCUUUGAUAGUUGUUAUAUAUAUAUAUAUAUAUAUAUAUAUAUAUAUAUAUAUACACACAUAGUUUAUAUAUUCUUAUAAAAUAUAAGUACACCCUUCUCAAUCUGUCUAACAUUACCUAUCAUGUGCAUAGGAUCUCAAGGCUGACCACAUAGCAUUGGAUAAUCAGUGAAGGAACAUUUCCCUGGGAGGACUGUUUCUGGGAGGACCAUUUCUCCUAAUCAUAUCGUUCUCAGUUCUUUAUCUACUAUCGAGACCCUUAGUUGCCCUUUUCAAAUUAGGAUUUCCAUAGGUGUCAUGGUUGUUCAGGUCUUGUUUUAGACAACCAUGUUGAUUAGACUUUGUGGGUAUAGCCUGUCUGACAUUUCUAAAAGACACAGUCUUACGACAAACAUUUUUUUGAGCACUGUAAUAUGAAAUGAAGAAGUAUACUUUCUUUUAUUUUUUGUCUUUUAUUUAUUUAUUUUUUACACUCCAGAUUUUAUCUCCCUCCCCCCACUGCCACCAUCCACCCUCCAACUGUUCCACAUCUCAUUCCUCCUCCCCACUCCUUGUCUCCAUGAGGAUAUCAUCCUCGUGGCAAAGUAUACUUUCUUGAAAACCUAAAAAUUAAAAAAAAGGGGGGGGGGGGAAUCAAUGCUAUAAAUGUUUUUUUACAGAGCCAUUGCUUCUGGGUGCUCAGCCAGGUGGAUUUUAUUUCACCACUUCACAGCU